Molecule: ribosomal RNA, 468 nt
Filed under: uncultured bacterium
Lineage: Bacteria
Description: partial 16S ribosomal RNA
Rfam family: Bacterial small subunit ribosomal RNA
Source: RNAcentral
GACGAACGCUGGCGGCGUGCUUAACACAUGCAAGUCGAACGGAAAGGCCCUGCUUUUGUGGGGUGCUCGAGUGGCGAACGGGUGAGUAACACGUGAGUAACCUGCCCUUGACUUUGGGAUAACUUCAGGAAACUGGGGCUAAUACCGGAUAGGAGCUCCUGCUGCAUGGUGGGGGUUGGAAAGUUUCGGCGGUUGGGGAUGGACUCGCGGCUUAUCAGCUUGUUGGUGGGGUAGUGGCUUACCAAGGCUUUGACGGGUAGCCGGCCUGAGAGGGUGACCGGCCACAGUGGCACUGGGGAGCGGGCCAGACUCAUACGGGGGGCAGCGGCGGAAGAUAGUGCACGCUGGGCGGAAGCCGGAUGCAGCAACGCCGCGUGCGGGAUGACGGCCUUCGGGGUGGAAACCGCGUGCGCCUGUGACGAAGAGUGAGUGACGGUAAUGGGUAAAGAAGCAACGGCUAACUACGUG